GCUGGUGCUUUAGAUAGAUACAGGACUUUAAUUAAAACCUGGGCGGCAGCUGUGCUAUUGCAAGGCACAGAUGCCGCUUACAUA
This 84-nucleotide small RNA is filed under the name Clostridium sp. chh4-2. Its description in RNAcentral is "COG2827 RNA". It matches the Rfam family "COG2827 RNA". Rfam says of the family: Clostridiales. Nearby to self-splicing intron genes RNAcentral also lists the same sequence under 1 other name. The record is from Rfam by way of RNAcentral. Lineage: Bacteria; Bacillati; Bacillota; Clostridia; Eubacteriales; Clostridiaceae.